AUGGCUUCCGCCGAGCUAGGGUCGGAGUCGGACGGGUAUGGCUUCCCCUGCGGCGGCGACGACGGCGCGACGGCGGCGCUCUCGCCGGCGGUGGUCGUGUCGGUGCUCGCGUCUCUGCUGGAGCGGCACAUCGCGCGCAACGAGAGGGCCUUGGCCGGCGCCCAUGGCCAUGCGGCGUCCGGCGAGGACGCGAGGAGGGCCGCGGCCUUCGACGGCGGCACGGUGCUGGACAUGGGCAUGCGGGAGUUCCUGGAGCGGUUCUCCCGGUACGCGCACGUGUCGCCGCAGGUGUACGUGGUGGCGUACGCCUACCUGGACCGGCUCCGCCGCGGCGGCGACGGCGCCGGGGCGGUGCGCGUCGUGGCGACCAACGCGCAGCGCCUGCUCACCGCGGCCAUCCUGGUGGCCUCCAAGUUCGUGGAGGACAGGAACUACAAGAACUCCUACUUCGCGGCGGUGGGCGGGCUGGGCGCGGCGGAGCUGAGCUCGCUGGAGCUGGACUUCCUCUUCCUGAUGCGGUUCCGGCUCAACGUCAGCGUGAGCGUGUUCCGGAGCUACUGCCGGCACCUGGAGAGGGAGGCGGGCCACGGCGGCGGGUACCAGGUCGAGAGGUGCCUUGAGAAGGCCCUCCUCGUCUCCUCCGGGGAGGCGCGGCGGCAGCACCGGCAGCCGCCAGCGGCGGCGGCAGCUCAGUAA
RNAcentral lists this ribosomal RNA (696 nucleotides) under Triticum aestivum (bread wheat). Its description in RNAcentral is "partial small subunit ribosomal RNA". The record is from RNAcentral. Lineage: Eukaryota; Viridiplantae; Streptophyta; Magnoliopsida; Poales; Poaceae.